CCAUAGUUACAUGCUGGGGUAGCCAUAUUACAGUCAUAAAGGACCAUAGUUACAUGCUGGGGUAGCCAUUACAGUCAUAAAGGACCAUAGUUACAUGCUGGGGUAGCCAUAUCACAGUCAUAAAGGACCAUAGUUACAUGCUGGGGUAGCCAUAUCACAGUCGUAUAGGUCCAUAGUUACACACUAGGGUCUAGAGUCACAGUCAUAUAGGUCCAUAGUUACACACUGGGGUCUAGAGUCACAGUCAUAUAGGUCCAUUGUUACACACUAGGGUCUAGAGUCACAGUCAGUCAUAUGAGUUCAGUGUUAUACAGUGGGUCAGCCUUACAGGAGCUGUACAGUGGAGUUACUUUAUAACUGUCAUAUGGGUUUGGUGUUAUACAAUGGGUUCAGUUUUUCACAGUCACUUGGGACUUGUUUUAUACAGCGUGUUAGCUAUAUAUCGGUCUUAUAGUUAAAGGGUUACACGUAGGGUAGGUUCUACAACCAGGGGAAGUCAAUGGUAUUGAGUUAGGGGUUUAUGGAACCCUACACAGAUAGGUUGAGAUGUCCCUGCUUGGUCAGUAGCUAAAUGUUAGGACUGUGAUGAGUGGAUGGGAGUUGGAGGGGGUGUGAAAAUGGCUUUGUGUAGACAGAGAUGGAUAAUUAGGCAGGAGACCAUUUCUUUGUAGUAAGGUAGAAUACUUAAUGAACUAAAGUAUGUGUGAACUUGCUCCAUGUGUGAAUGUUGAUAUUCACUUGUUGGCAGAGAUUGUUCUCUGGUUGUCAUGGAGACCCAGCCUCACACUGAGUCUACUUCUUCGAUAAUUAAUUCAGGAAGGUCGGAAGUACUGUGUUCCUAAGAUGUAUUAAAAAGUGUGUUGUUAGUUAUGCUGUCAUGUUGUGAGAUGUUAGGUGACGAAUAUGUUUUUGAAUAUGUCAAUGUGGAUGAGAUAUUCAUUGAAACAUCUUACAAUGGCAGGUAAAACAACAAUGAUCCAAAGAUUUCUGUAAAUGAUUAUCAUUUUUUCAUCUUCCUUAUACUGACAAUAAAUCUUACAAACCAUC
This is a long non-coding RNA of Haliotis rubra (blacklip abalone), 1047 nucleotides long. RefSeq lists it as uncharacterized. The transcript has 2 exons. Lineage: Eukaryota; Metazoa; Mollusca; Gastropoda; Lepetellida; Haliotidae. The record is from RefSeq and is a predicted model, not a curated record.